Molecule: ribosomal RNA, 468 nt
Filed under: uncultured bacterium
Lineage: Bacteria
Description: partial 16S ribosomal RNA
Rfam family: Bacterial small subunit ribosomal RNA
Source: RNAcentral
GACGAACGCUGGCGGCGUGCCUAACACAUGCAAGUCGAACGGAAAGGCCCUGCUUUUGUGGGGUGCUCGAGUGGCGAACGGGUGGGUAACACGUGAGUAACCUGCCCUUGACUUUGGGAUAACUUCAGGAAACUGGGGCUAAUACCGGAUAGGAGCUCCUGCUGCAUGGUGGGGGUUGGAAAGUUUCGGCGGUUGGGGAUGGACUCGCGGCUUAUCAGCUUGUUGGUGGGGUAGUGGCUUACCAAGGCUUUGACGGGUAGCCGGCCUGAGAGGGUGACCGGCCACAUUGGGACUGAGAUACGGCCCAGACUCCUACGGGAGGCAGCAGUGGGGAAUAUUGCACAAUGGGCGGAAGCCUGAUGCAGCAACGCCGCGUGCGGGAUGACGGCCUUCGGGUUGUAAACCGCUUUCGCCUGUGACGAAGCGUGAGUGACGGUAAUGGGUAAAGAAGCACCGGCUAACUACGUG